GAUGAACGCUGGCGGCGUGCCUAAUACAUGCAAGUCGAGCGAACGGACGAGAAGCUUGCUUCUCUGAUGUUAGCGGCGGACGGGUGAGUAACACGUGGAUAACCUACCUAUAAGACUGGGAUAACUUCGGGAGACCGGAGCUAAUACCGGAUAAUAUUUUGAACCGCAUAGUUCAAGAGUAAAAGACGGUCUUGCUGUCACUUAUAGAUGGAUCCGCGCUGCAUUAGCUAGUUGGUAAGGUAACGGCUUACCAAGGCAACGAUGCAUAGCCGACCUGAGAGGGUGAUCGGCCACACUGGAACUGAGACACGGUCCAGACUCCUGCGGGAGGCAGCAGUAGGGAAUCUUCCGCGAUGGGCGAAAGCCUGACGGAGCAACGCCGCGUGAGUGAUGAAGGUCUUCGGAUCGUAAAACUCUGUUAUUAGGGAAGAACAUAUGUGUAAGUAACUGUGCACAUCUUGACGGUACCUAAUCAGAAAGCCACGGCUGACUACGUG
Molecule: ribosomal RNA, 497 nt
Filed under: uncultured bacterium
Lineage: Bacteria
Description: partial 16S ribosomal RNA
Rfam family: Bacterial small subunit ribosomal RNA
Source: RNAcentral